This 481-nucleotide ribosomal RNA is filed under the name Salmonella enterica subsp. enterica serovar Weltevreden. Its description in RNAcentral is "partial 23S ribosomal RNA". It matches the Rfam family "Bacterial large subunit ribosomal RNA", at positions 773 to 1251 of the family's 2925-position model. Lineage: Bacteria; Pseudomonadati; Pseudomonadota; Gammaproteobacteria; Enterobacterales; Enterobacteriaceae. The record is from RNAcentral.
ACCGAACCGACUAAUGUUGAAAAAUUAGCGGAUGACCUGUGGCUGGGGGUGAAAGGCCAAUCAAACCGGGAGAUAGCUGGUUCUCCCCGAAAGCUAUUUAGGUAGCGCCUCGUGAAUUCAUCUCCGGGGGUAGAGCACUGUUUCGGCUAGGGGGCCAUCCCGGCUUACCAACCCGAUGCAAACUGCGAAUACCGGAGAAUGUUAUCACGGGAGACACACGGCGGGUGCUAACGUCCGUCGUGAAGAGGGAAACAACCCAGACCGCCAGCUAAGGUCCCAAAGUCAUGGUUAAGUGGGAAACGAUGUGGGAAGGCCCAGACAGCCAGGAUGUUGGCUUAGAAGCAGCCAUCAUUUAAAGAAAGCGUAAUAGCUCACUGGUCGAGUCGGCCUGCGCGGAAGAUGUAACGGGGCUAAACCAUGCACCGAAGCUGCGGCAGCGACGCUUAUGCGUUGUUGGGUAGGGGAGCGUUCUGUAAGCCUG